AUGUGGCUGCUGGGGCCGCUGUGCCUGCUGCUGAGCAGCGCCGCGGGAAAGUAUCUGGAAAAAUAGAUGACAGCCAGAAAGAGAGCUUGGAGAAAAUGACUCCAAGGAGAAGGUAGUCAUUUCCUAGAGUCUGGCUUGUCAGUUCCAAGGCUAAGUCGAAAUGUGGCCCGACCUUCUUCCCCUGUGCCAGCGGCAUCCACUGCAUCAUUGGUCGCUUCCGGUGCAAUGGGUUUGAGGACUGUCCCGAUGGCAGCGAUGAAGAGAACUGCACAGCAAACCCUCUGCUUUGCUCUACCGCCCGCUACCACUGCAAGAACGGCCUCUGUAUUGACAAGAGCUUCAUCUGCGAUGGACAGAAUAACUGUCAAGACAACAGUGAUGAGGAAAGCUGUGAAAGUUCUCAAGGCCUGCGUGGUAUGACCUUCCUCCACCGCCCUACUCUUCUGACACGGAAUCUCUGAAUCAAGCCGACCUGCCCCCCUACCGCUCCCGGUCCGGGAGUGCCAACAGUGCCAGCUCCCAGGCAGCCAGCAGCCUCCUGAGCGUGGAAGACACCAGC
RNAcentral lists this small RNA (559 nucleotides) under Pongo abelii (Sumatran orangutan). RNAcentral describes it as "processed transcript". Lineage: Eukaryota; Metazoa; Chordata; Mammalia; Primates; Hominidae. The record is from RNAcentral.